CCUACGGGAGGCAGCAGUGAGGAAUAUUGGUCAAUGGACGAGAGUCUGAACCAGCCAAGUAGCGUGAAGGAUGACUGCCCUAUGGGUUGUAAACUUCUUUUAUAGGGGAAUAAAAUGUUCCACGUGAGGGAUUUUGUAUGGACCAUAUGAAUAAGGAUCGGCUAACUCCGUGCCAGCAGCCGCGGUAAUACGGAGGAUCCGAGCGUUAUCCGGAUUGAUUGGGGUUAAAGGGAGCGUAGGUGGAUUGUUAAGUCAGUUGGGAAAGUUUGCGGCUCAACCGUAAAAUUGCAGUUGAAACGUGCAGUCUUGCGUACAGUAGAGGUGGGCGUCAUUCGUGUUGUAGCGGUGCAAUGCUUAGAUAUCACG
Molecule: ribosomal RNA, 366 nt
Filed under: uncultured bacterium
Lineage: Bacteria
Description: partial 16S ribosomal RNA
Rfam family: Bacterial small subunit ribosomal RNA
Source: RNAcentral